AUGUCACCGCUCUCUGUGAUGUCACUGCUCUCCGUGACGUCACCAGGGGCGCCCUCCCCGGGGAGGUCAGCAGUGACAUCAGCGCUGAUGUCAUCACUGGAGGCGUCCUCCUCCUCCGCAGGGGGGGCUGUUACCAGGAUGGUGAUGCCACCGGCGGCGCAGGUGUCCCCAAGGUCCCCAAGGUCCCCCAGGGGGGUGACAUCUCCCUCCUUGUCCCCAGUGUCCCUUGGGGCUGUGACGUCCCUGUCCCCAAUGUCCUCGAUCAGAUGGGAUGGGACAUCCCUGUCCCCAAUGUCCCCCGGGACCGUGACGUCCCUGUCCCAAACGUCCUCAUCCUCAAGGUCCUCGUCCCCAAAGUCCUUACUGCCAAUGUCCCCAGUGUCCCUUAGGACAGUGACAUCCCUGUCCCCAACAUCCUCGACCAGAUGGGAUGGGACAUCCCUGUCCCCAAUGUCCCUUAGGGCUGUGACAUCCCUGACCCCAAUGUCCUUGACCAGAUGGGAUGGGACAUCCCUGUCCCCAGUGUCCCCUGGGACCGUGACAUCCUUCUCCCCAACGUCCUUCACCAGAUGGGGUGGGACAUCCCUGUCCCUGGUGUCCCUUAGGGCUGGGACAUCCCUGUCCCCAACGUCCUUGUCCUCAUCCCCAGACACUGCCAUGUCCCCAGUGUCCCCUGGGACCGUGACAUCCCUGUCCCCAACAUCCUUUAGAGUGGUGACAUCCUUGUCCCCAGGAACUGGGACAUCCCUGUCCCCCACGUCCUUGUCCUCAGAAACUGGGAUGUCCCCAGCGUCCCUUAAGACUGCGCCAUCUGUGUCCCCAAUGUCCCUCAGGGCUGGGACAUCCCCAAUGUCCUUGUCCCCAGUGUCUCCAGGGGCUGGGACAUCCCUGUCCCCAAGGUCCUUGUCCCCAUCAUCUCUUGGGAUGGUGACAUCCCUGUCCCUGGUGUCCCCAACAUCUCUUAGAGCUGAGAACUGCAUGUCCCAAAUAUCCUUGUCCCCGAUGUCCCUUAGGAUUGAGACCUUCAUGUCCCCAAUGUCCUUGUCCCCAAGGUCCCCUGGGGCUGUGACAGUCUCAUCCCCGGUGUCCCUUGGAGCUGGGACAUCCCUGUCCCCAGUGUCCCUUAGGAUGAGGACCUGCAUGUGCCCAAUCUCCUUGUCCCUCAGGGUGGUGACAUCCCUGUCCUUAAUGUCCCUUAAGGUCGUGACAUCUCUGAACCCAACAUCCUUGUCCCAAGUUGCUGGGACAUCCGUCUCCCCAAUGUCCUUGACCAGAUGGGCUGGGACAUCCUUGUCCCCAGUGUCCCUCAGGGUGGUGACAUCCCUGUCCCCAGGAGCUGGGACAUCUCUGUCCCCAAUGUCCCUCAGGGUGGUGACAUCCCUGUCCCCAGGAGCUGGGACAUCCCUGUCCCCAAUGCCCCUUAGAGUGAUGACAUCUCUGUCCCCAACGUCCUUGUCUCCAAGAGCUGGGACAUCCUUGUCCCAAAUGUCCCUCAAGGUGGUGACAUCCCUGUCCCCAGUGGCUUUGUCCCCAGGAGCUGGGACAUCCCUGUCCCCAAUUUCUCUUAGAGCGAUGACAUCUCUGUCCCCAUAAUCCCCGUCCCCAAGAGCUGGGACAUCCAUGUCCCCAAGGGCUUUGUCCCCAGGAGGUAGAACAUCCCUGUCCCCAGUGUCCUUUAAGGUGGUGGCAUCCUUGUCCCUAAUGUCCCUCAGAGUGGCGACGUCCCUGUCCUCAAGAGCUGGGACAUCCCUGUCCCCAAUGUCCCUCAGGGUGAUGGCAUCUCUGUCCCCAAGGGCUUUGUCCCCAGGAGCUGGGGCUUCCCUGUCCCAAAUGUCCUUCAAGGUGAUGGCAUCUCUGUCCCCAAUGGCUCUGUCCCCAGGAGGUAGAACAUCCCUGUCCCCAAUGUCCCUUAAGGUGGUGGCAUCCUUGUCCCUAAUGUCCCUCAGAGUGGUGACAUCUCUGUCCUCAAGAGCUGGGACAUCCCUGUCCCCAGUGUCCCUCAGGGUGGUGACAUCCCUGUCCCCAAUGGCUUUGUCCCCAGGAGCUGGGACAUCCUUGUCCCCAAUGUCUCUUAGAGUGGUGACAUCUCUGUCCCCAACGUCCUUGUCCCCAGGAGCUGGGACAUCCUUGUCCCCAGUGUCCUUGUCCAGCAGGGCUGGCCCAUCCUGGUCCCCAAUGUCCUUUGGGGUGACAACGUCCCUGUCCCCAAUGUCCCUCAGAGCUGUGACAUCCUUGUCCCCGACAUCCCUGUCCCCAGAGGGUGCCACGUCCUUGUCCCCAAGGUCCUUUGGGGUGGCGACAUCCCUCUUCUCAGUGUCCUUGUCAUUGUCCCUGUGCCCCGUGUCACUCGUGACCGAGACGUCCCCAGCGUCCUUGUCCCCGAAGCUGGGGACGUCCUCGUCCCCAGAGUCCUCAGUGUCUUCCUCGGCGGGGGCGGCCGUGACGGUGAUGGUGAUGCCGCUGGCCCAGGGGGUGACGGUGACAGUGUCCCCGGGGACACCGCUGUCACCCUCCCCCUCGGGGACCCCUCCGGGCUGUCCCCACGACGGUUCGGGGUCCGCGGUGACAUUCCCGGGGGUGGCCGUCACCUCCC
This 2593-nucleotide long non-coding RNA is filed under the name Calidris pygmaea (Spoon-billed sandpiper). Its description in RNAcentral is "lncRNA (ENSCPGG00000002396.1)". The record is from RNAcentral. Lineage: Eukaryota; Metazoa; Chordata; Aves; Charadriiformes; Scolopacidae.